This 1238-nucleotide ribosomal RNA is filed under the name Gallionella sp. RNAcentral describes it as "bacterial SSU rRNA". It matches the Rfam family "Bacterial small subunit ribosomal RNA", at positions 1 to 1217 of the family's 1533-position model. The record is from RNAcentral. Lineage: Bacteria; Pseudomonadati; Pseudomonadota; Betaproteobacteria; Nitrosomonadales; Gallionellaceae.
AUUAUUGAGAAUUUGAUCUUGGUUCAGAUUGAAUGCUGACAGCGUGGAUGAGGCAUGCAAGUCGAACGGAAGUUGUACCUUCGGGUGUAACUUUAGUGGCGAAAGGGUUAGUAAUACAUGGAUAAUCUACCUUUAACCUGGGGAUAACGGCUGGAAACGGCCGCUAAUACCGAAUGAGGUUAUAUAAUUAAUUUAUAUAUAUCAAAGUUGGGGACCUUCGGGCCUAGCGGUUAAAGAGGAGUUCAUGGGAUAUCAGCUAGUUGGUGAGGUAAAAGCUCACCAAGGCUAAGACGUCUAGGCGGAUUGAGAGAUUGACCGCCAACACUGGGACUGAGACACUGCCCAGACUCCUACGGGAGGCUGCAGUCGAGAAUCUUUCGCAAUGGGCGAAAGCCUGACGAAGCGACGCUGUGUGAAUGAAGAAGGCCCUCGGGUUGUAAAGUUCUUUCGCUUGGGAGCAAGGAAUAAUUAUGAAUAAUAAUUAAACUUGAGUUAACCAGGUAAAGAAGCACCGGCUAACUCCGUGCCAGCAGCUGCGGUAAUACGGAGGGUGCAAGCAUUAAUCGGAUUUACUGGGCGUAAAGGGCGCGUAGGCUGAAUAGUAAGUCAUUAGAUGAAAUUCCAAGGCUCAACCUUGGAGCUGUCUGUGAAACUGCUAAUCUAAGAGGUAAGACGGAGAAAACGGAAUUCCACGUGUAGCGGUGAAAUGCGUAGAUAUGUGGAAGAACACCGGUGGCGAAAGCGGUUUUCUAGUUUUAACCUGACGCUGAGGCGCGAAAGUGAGGGGAGCAAACAGGAUUAGAUACCCUGGUAGUCCUUGCCGUAAACGAUGUGUACUUGGUGUAUGUGGGCUCAACCCCAUGUGUGCCGUAGCUAACGCGUUAAGUACACCGCCUGGGGAGUACGCCCGCAAGGGUGAAACUCAAAAGAAUUGACGGGGGCCCGCACAAGCAGUGGAGCAUGUGGUUUAAUUCGAUGCAACGCGAAGAACCUUACCUGGUCUUGACAUGCAAUUGACGCUACUAGAAACAGUAGUUUCCUUCGGGACAGUUGCACAGAUGCUGCAUGGCUGUCGUCAGCUCGUGCCGUGAGGUGUUGGGUUAAGUCCCGCAACGAGCGCAACCUUUAUUCUUAGUUGCCAUCACGUCAUGGUGGGCACUCUAGGAAGACUGCCGGUGAUAAACUGGAGGAAGGAGGAGAUGACGUCAAGUCAGUAUGGCCCUUAUGCCUGGGGCUAC